CAGUAGCCGCGGUAAUACGUAGGUGGCAAGCGUUGUCCGGAAUUAUUGGGCGUAAAGGGCUCGCAGGCGGUUUCUUAAGCCUGAUGUGAAAGCCCCCGGCUCAACCGGGGAGGGUCAUUGGAAACUGGGAAACUUGAGUGCAGAAGAGGAGAGUGGAAUCCCACGUGUAGCGGUGAAAUGCGUAGAGAUGUGGAGGAACACCAGUGGCGAAGGCGACUCUCUGGUCUGUAACUGACGCUGAGGAGCGAAAGCGUGGGGAGCGAACAGGAUUAGAUACCCCUGUAGUCCCUGUCUCUUAUAC
This 301-nucleotide ribosomal RNA is filed under the name uncultured bacterium. Its description in RNAcentral is "partial 16S ribosomal RNA". It matches the Rfam family "Bacterial small subunit ribosomal RNA", at positions 509 to 807 of the family's 1533-position model. The record is from RNAcentral.